CCUACGGGUGGCAGCAGUGGGGAAUAUUGCUCAAUGGGGGAAACCCUGAAGCAGCAACGCCGCGUGAGGGAUGAAGGUUUUCGGAUUGUAAAGCUCUUUUGUUAGGGAAGAAAAUGACGGUACCUAACGAAUAAGCACCGGCUAACUCCGUGCCAGCAGCCGCGGUAAUACGGAGGGUGCAAGCGUUAUUCGGAUUCACUGGGCGUAAGGGGCGCGUAGGCGGUAUAGCAAGGCAGAUGUGAAAUCCUAGGGCUUAACCGUGGGACUGCAUUUGAAACUGUUAGUCUAGAGUGUGGGAGAGGUAGGCGGAAUUCGUGGUGUAGCGGUGAAAUGCGUAGAGAUCAAGAGGAACACUAGUGGCGAAGGCGGCCUGCUGGACGAUAACUGACGCUGAGGCACGAAAGCGUGGGGAGCAAACAGGAUUAGAUACCCCUGUAGUC
This 440-nucleotide ribosomal RNA is filed under the name uncultured bacterium. Its description in RNAcentral is "partial 16S ribosomal RNA". It matches the Rfam family "Bacterial small subunit ribosomal RNA", at positions 338 to 795 of the family's 1533-position model. The record is from RNAcentral.